Molecule: ribosomal RNA, 59 nt
Filed under: Rhizopogon sp. SNFA43-1
Lineage: Eukaryota; Fungi; Basidiomycota; Agaricomycetes; Boletales; Rhizopogonaceae
Description: 5.8S ribosomal RNA
Rfam family: 5.8S ribosomal RNA
About the family: 5.8S ribosomal RNA (5.8S rRNA) is a component of the large subunit of the eukaryotic ribosome. It is transcribed by RNA polymerase I as part of the 45S precursor that also contains 18S and 28S rRNA.
Source: RNAcentral
UUUGAACGCACCUUGCGCUCCUCGGUGUUCCGAGGAGCAUGCCUGUUUGAGUGUCAGUA